AUCUUGGGCACCUCUUGGGUCUCGCUUUCCUCCUCUGUAAAAUAAGGUUGGGGGACCAGAAAACAACAGCAUUCCUGGUCCAAUGAGAACUGCAAAAUCCUAGAAUCCCAGAAUUUGCCUCACAAAAUAAUCUAAUCAAUCCUCCUACGUCCAGAACUGGAUCACAAAAUCACAGAUUUAGAAACGGGAGGAACCCUUAAAGAAAAGAAGAGAGAACAGAAAGGACUGAGGAGCCGUGAUCCAAUCCACAGCAACACCCACAACUUUAGUGUUACAUGGUAAAGUAAAGCAUUUAACCUCCUUGAGACUCAGUUUCCUCACCUAUAAAAUGAGGAGGUUGGAUCUCUUAAUCUCUACUGUCUUUUUCUAAUUUCUCAGUAUAUGGUUCUGAAGGUAAUAGGAU
RNAcentral lists this long non-coding RNA (403 nucleotides) under Monodelphis domestica (gray short-tailed opossum). Its description in RNAcentral is "lncRNA (ENSMODG00000042936.1)". Lineage: Eukaryota; Metazoa; Chordata; Mammalia; Didelphimorphia; Didelphidae. The record is from RNAcentral.